This 67-nucleotide transfer RNA is filed under the name Nippotaenia chaenogobii. RNAcentral describes it as "tRNA-Ala". The record is from RNAcentral. Lineage: Eukaryota; Metazoa; Platyhelminthes; Cestoda; Nippotaeniidea; Nippotaeniidae.
AAUGAGGUAGUUUAUUAAAGAAUAUUAAGUUUGCGUCUUAUUGGUGGGAUGUUAAUCUCCCUUAUUA